GUUAGGAAUAUUGGACAAUGGGCGAAAGCCUGAUCCAGCCAUGCCGCGUGAACGAUGAAGGCCUUCGGGUUGUAAAGUUCUUUAGCCGAUGAUUAUAAUGACUGUAGUCGGAAAAUAAGCCCCGGCUAACUUCGUGCCAGCAGCCGCGGUAAUACGAAGGGGGCGAGCGUUAUUCGGAAUCACUGGGCGUAAAGCGUGCGUAGGCGGUUUUGUAAGUUAGGAGUGAAAGCCCAGGGCUCAACCUUGGAAUUGCUCUUAAAACUGCAAGGCUCGAAUCUCGGAGAGGAUAGCGGAAUUGCCAGUGUAGCAGUGAAAUGCGUAGAUAUUGGAAGGAACACCAGUGGCGUAAGCGGCUAUCUGGACGAGUAUUGACGCUGAGGCACGAAAGCGUGGGGAUCAAACAGGAUUAGAUACCCUUGUAGUCC
This 425-nucleotide ribosomal RNA is filed under the name uncultured bacterium. RNAcentral describes it as "partial 16S ribosomal RNA". It matches the Rfam family "Bacterial small subunit ribosomal RNA", at positions 354 to 796 of the family's 1533-position model. The record is from RNAcentral.